RNAcentral lists this ribosomal RNA (253 nucleotides) under uncultured bacterium. Its description in RNAcentral is "partial 16S ribosomal RNA". It matches the Rfam family "Bacterial small subunit ribosomal RNA", at positions 524 to 776 of the family's 1533-position model. The record is from RNAcentral.
UACGUAGGGUGCGAGCGUUGUCCGGAAUUACUGGGCGUAAAGAGCUCGUAGGCGGCUUGUCGCGUUGUUCGUGAAAAUUUACCGCUCAACGGUGAACUUGCGGGCGAUACGGGCAGGCUAGAGUACUGCAGGGGAGACUGGAAUUCCUGGUGUAGCGGUGAAAUGCGCAGAUAUCAGGAAGAACACCGGUGGCGAAGGCAGCUCUCUGGGAAUAUCCUGACGCUGAGGAGCGAAAGUGUGGGGAGCGAACAGG